UGCCACGGUGAAUACGUUCCCGGGCCUUGUACACACCGCCCGUCACACCAUGGGAGUGGGUUGCAAAAGAAGUAGGUAGCUUAACCUUCGGGAGGGCGCUUACCACUUUGUGAUUCAUGACUGGGGUGAAGUCGUAACAAGGUAACCGUAGGGGAACCUGCGGUUGGAUCACCUCCUUACCUUAAAGAA
RNAcentral lists this ribosomal RNA (189 nucleotides) under Salmonella enterica subsp. enterica serovar Enteritidis. RNAcentral describes it as "partial 16S ribosomal RNA". It matches the Rfam family "Bacterial small subunit ribosomal RNA", at positions 1355 to 1533 of the family's 1533-position model. RNAcentral also lists the same sequence under 1 other name. Lineage: Bacteria; Pseudomonadati; Pseudomonadota; Gammaproteobacteria; Enterobacterales; Enterobacteriaceae. The record is from RNAcentral.